ACAGGUAGUGAGACCACGCCGUUACAAGAUGGCGGUGUGUCUGUAAAGGGGCAGAACACGGCGGUUAAAACAGCUCACAGAAGGCGCACAACGUCCGUUGUAUGUGUUGUAUUCUUCAGUGAAUGAGUCAUGGACUGACCUUUGUACCUGGGAUGUAAAACUGGUCUAAGACAUCCACCUCUGCUACCUGCCUUGUCUGACAGACCCUAGGAUGUGUGAAGUAAAAGCUGAUACUGUAUACCUGACCAUGUUCCUGUGGGACCUGUCAGCUAUCCUGUGUACCUGUCCAUAUUCCAGGAGGACCUGUCUGUGUUCCUGUGUGACCUGUCAGCUAUCCUGUGUGCCUGUCCAUAUUCCAGGAGGACCUGUCUGUGUUCCUGUGGGACCUGUCAGCUAUCCUGUGUGCCUGUCCAUAUUCCAGGAGGACCUGUCUGUGUUCCUGUGGGACCUGUCAGCUAUCCUGUGUACCUGUCCAUACUCCAGGAGGACCUGUCUGUGUUCCUGUGGGACCUGUCAGCUAUCCUGUGUACCUGUCCAUACUCCAGGAGGACCUGUUCAUGUUCCUGUGUGCCAGAGACCUCAGUCUGCUCAAGACAAGAGAACAUUGGACUUGACUGUGAGUUAGUUUCUACUUUUAGAACUCUUUCAAACAUGGAGAUCUGCAUGCUGCAAGGCGUAAUAAACUGUUUUGCAUAAUUAGCCAUUUUAAUUUUGCGCUAGAUUUUGCAGCUCUGAUGUUAUGAUACAUACAAUAUAGUCUGUGCAUUGUGCAUAAAGCGUCCAGCCCGUGCGAAUAAAGCGUAAUAUGUGACUGCUAACUGAUGGAAUCGAGCGAAAAGUUUAAUCGGGUCCUACCCUGCAGAUUCCCAAAAAUGACAACAAAAAAUGUUGGGAAAGGGCAAUAGUUGGCAAUCCUCUGAAUUCUUAGUUCCAAACAUCAUUGUCAAAAGUAGCCCUCCCUGCUGUUUGUUGUCAUUUCUGAAAGAGUUCUCAUUUCUUAUACUAAUAUCUAGAUUAAGGUUGUGAUUUAUAUUUUAUUGCAGAUAUGGUGGAGAACACAGUACAUUAUCCUAUUGAAGAGAGCACUUGUACGAUUGUCUGUUGUUUCAUUCUGUAAGGCAAUGGAGGAUAGUUUCAAACUCAUUUGCAAUCAAACUGUUUUCCCUGAUAUACUCUUCAUUAUCUUUAACAUCUGCCCUUAGUGAAGCCGUUUUUAAACUGAAAAUUGUUAUUGUGACAGAAAGAAAAUGUACAUGAGGAAGCAGUCAUUAAAACAAGAAAAUGUAUUACUAGACAAAGAAGACUAUGAUUUUUGAAGCCAAAAAGGAAGAAUAAGAUGGAACCAACAUAUCAUAAAUUAAGCUGUA
Long non-coding RNA from Branchiostoma floridae (Florida lancelet), 1367 nucleotides. RefSeq lists it as uncharacterized. The transcript is spliced from 3 exons. Lineage: Eukaryota; Metazoa; Chordata; Leptocardii; Amphioxiformes; Branchiostomatidae. The record is from RefSeq and is a predicted model, not a curated record.